CAGUAGCCGCGGUAAUACGUAGGUGGCAAGCGUUGUCCGGAAUUAUUGGGCGUAAAGGGCUCGCAGGCGGUUUCUUAAGUCUGAUGUGAAAGCCCCCGGCUCAACCGGGGGGGGUCAUUGGAAACUGGGAAACUUGAGUGCAGAAGAGGAGAGUGGAAUUCCACGUGUAGCGGUGAAAUGCGUAGAGAUGUGGAGGAACACCAGUGGCGAAGGCGACUCUCUGGUCUGUAACUGACGCUGAGGAGCGAAAGCGUGGGGAGCGAACAGGAUUAGAUACCCCCGUAGUCCCUGUCUCUUAUAC
This 301-nucleotide ribosomal RNA is filed under the name uncultured bacterium. Its description in RNAcentral is "partial 16S ribosomal RNA". It matches the Rfam family "Bacterial small subunit ribosomal RNA", at positions 509 to 807 of the family's 1533-position model. The record is from RNAcentral.